This 303-nucleotide ribosomal RNA is filed under the name uncultured bacterium. RNAcentral describes it as "partial 16S ribosomal RNA". It matches the Rfam family "Bacterial small subunit ribosomal RNA", at positions 507 to 808 of the family's 1533-position model. The record is from RNAcentral.
AGCAGUAGCCGCGGUAAUACGUAGGUGGCAAGCGUUGUCCGGAAUUAUUGGGCGUGAAGGGCUCGCAGGCGGUUUCUUAAGUCUGAUGUGAAAGCCCCCGGCUCAACCGGGGAGGGUCAUUGGAAACUGGGAAACUUGAGUGCAGAAGAGGAGAGUGGAAUUCCACGUGUAGCGGUGAAAUGCGUAGAGAUGUGGAGGAACACCAGUGGCGAAGGCGACUCUCUGGUCUGUAACUGACGCUGAGGAGCGAAAGCGUGGGGAGCGAACAGGAUUAGAUACCCGUGAGUCCCUGUCUCUUAUACC